AUACUUACCUGGUAGGCAGAUACUGUGAUCACAAAAGUGAUUUUCCCAGGGUGAGUCUCAUCCUUUGCACUCUGGAUGUUCUGACCCCAGCAAUUUCCCCAAGUGUGGGAAACUCAACUACAUAAUUUGUGGUAGUGGGAGACUGUAUUCAAGCUUUCCCCUA
Molecule: small nuclear RNA, 163 nt
Organism: Sciurus vulgaris (Eurasian red squirrel)
Lineage: Eukaryota; Metazoa; Chordata; Mammalia; Rodentia; Sciuridae
Gene: U1
Rfam family: U1 spliceosomal RNA
About the family: U1 is a small nuclear RNA (snRNA) component of the spliceosome (involved in pre-mRNA splicing). Its 5' end forms complementary base pairs with the 5' splice junction, thus defining the 5' donor site of an intron.
Source: Ensembl